ACGGGUGAGUAACACAUAGGAAUCUACCAAGCAGUACGGAAUAACUUUUGGAAACGAAAGCUAAUACCGUAUACAGCUGAGAAGUGAAAGAUUUAUCGCUGUUUGAUGAGCCUAUGCAGGAUUAGCUAGUUGGUGGGGUAAUGGCCCACCAAGGCGAUGAUCCUUAGCUGGUCUGAGAGGAUGAACAGCCACACUGGAACUGAGACACGGUCCAGACUCCUACGGGAGGCAGCAGUGGGGAAUUUUGGACAAUGGGCGAAAGCCUGAUCCAGCGACGCCGCGUGAGUGAUGAAGGCCUUCGGGUUGUAAAGCUCUUUCAGUAGGGAAGAUAGUGACGGUACCUACAGAAGAAGCCCCGGCCAACUUCGUGCCAGCAGCCGCGGUAAUACGAAGGGGGCUAGCGUUACCCGGAAUCACUGGGCGUAAAGAGUGCGUAGGCGGUCUGGAAAGUUGGAAGUGAAAGCCCAGGGCUCAACCUUGGAAUUGCUUUCAAAACUAUCAGACUAGAGUGUCAUAGGGGAUGACGGAAUUCCUAGUGUAGAGGUGAAAUUCGUAGA
RNAcentral lists this ribosomal RNA (557 nucleotides) under uncultured bacterium. Its description in RNAcentral is "bacterial SSU rRNA". It matches the Rfam family "Bacterial small subunit ribosomal RNA", at positions 102 to 694 of the family's 1533-position model. The record is from RNAcentral.